This 461-nucleotide ribosomal RNA is filed under the name uncultured bacterium. Its description in RNAcentral is "bacterial SSU rRNA". It matches the Rfam family "Bacterial small subunit ribosomal RNA", at positions 29 to 531 of the family's 1533-position model. The record is from RNAcentral.
AACGAACGCUGGCGGCAUGCCUAACACAUGCAAGUCGAACGAACCCUUCGGGGUGAGUGGCGCACGGGUGCGUAACGCGUGGGAACCUGCCCUUAGGUUCGGAAUAACAGUGAGAAAUCGCUGCUAAUACCGGAUAAUGUCUUCGGACCAAAGAUUUAUCGCCUUUGGAUGGGCCCGCGUUGGAUUAGCUAGUUGGUGGGGUAAAGGCUCACCAAGGCGACGAUCCAUAGCUGGUCUUAGAGGACGAUCAGCCACACUGGGACUGAGACACGGCCCAGACUCCUACGGGAGGCAGCAGUGGGGAAUAUUGGACAAUGGCGAAAGCCUGAUCCAGCAAUGCCGCGUGAGUGAUGAAGGCCUUAGGGUUGUAAAGACUCUUUUACCUAGGGAUGAUAAAUGACAGUACCUGGAGAAUAAGCUCCGGCUAACUCCGUGCCAGCAGCGCGGUAAUGUAUCGUACG